GAUGGUAGCUUGCUACCAGGCGUCGAGCGGCGGACGGGUGAGUAAUACUUAGGAAUCUACCUAGUAGUGGGGGAUAGCACGGGGAAACUCGUAUUAAUACCGCAUACGACCUACGGGAGAAAGGGGGCAGUUUACUGCUCUCGCUAUUAGAUGAGCCUAAGUCGGAUUAGCUAGAUGGUGGGGUAAAGGCCUACCAUGGCGACGAUCUGUAGCUGGUCUGAGAGGAUGAUCAGCCACACCGGGACUGAGACACGGCCCGGACUCCUACGGGAGGCAGCAGUGGGGAAUAUUGGACAAUGGGGGAAACCCUGAUCCAGCCAUGCCGCGUGUGUGAAGAAGGCCUUUUGGUUGUAAAGCACUUUAAGCAGUGAAGAAGACUCCUCGGUUAAUACCCGUGGACGAUGACAUUAGCUGCAGAAUAAGCACCGGCUAACUCUGUGCCAGCAGCCGCGGUAAUACAGAGGGUGCAAGCGUUAAUCGGAAUUACUGGGCGUAAAGCGAGCGUAGGUGGCUUGAUAAGUCA
RNAcentral lists this ribosomal RNA (523 nucleotides) under uncultured Psychrobacter sp. Its description in RNAcentral is "bacterial SSU rRNA". It matches the Rfam family "Bacterial small subunit ribosomal RNA", at positions 71 to 590 of the family's 1533-position model. The record is from RNAcentral. Lineage: Bacteria; Pseudomonadati; Pseudomonadota; Gammaproteobacteria; Moraxellales; Moraxellaceae.